GUUACAGGAAGUUCCAAUCUCCUCUCAUUAGGUUCCAAAAUCAAGAUCCAGAUUUCAUCUUCUGAAUUUGAAACCCCACAUCCAAACUCGCCCAAAAAGAACAGAUCUGAAAGACAUGAGAUGGGAGGCGGUGGCUAAACGUCAGAUCUAAGUGAGCGUGGUUUGGCCGGAGAUCGGAGGCGGUGGUGAUGGAUGAAUAGAUCUGAUGGCGGCGACGGGGUGUCCGGAAGACAGGGGUGGUGGUGAUGGAUGAAUAGAUCUGAUGGAGGCGGUUGAUUUUGGUUUUUUUGGGUUGAUAACUUGAUAUUUGUGUGUAGUCCAAAUUAAGUCAAUGGAAAGAGUAAUGCUAUGAGUUCUGACAAAGGAGGUGGUCAGUCUAACAAAGGUAAAGCCGUAGCUGGUUCGUCUAACUUUGACAUUAAUCAGUUGAGCCAAUCAGUCCAAGAUGUGAACCUGGAUUCCAACCAAGAUGGCAGCUGGGAGAUGAUCUCCAAAAAGAACAAAAACCGACCAGAGAUGUCUGUGUUGUUUGUUUAGAGAGAGAGAGAGUGUGUUUAAAGUGAGAGAGAGAGAGAGGGAAAAGGGAGAGAGUGAGUGAUUGAGAAAAAAAUGUAUUUAUAUUUGAUUUUAUUUUUUUAAUUAUACUAUAAAUAAUUAAGUA
This is a long non-coding RNA of Helianthus annuus (common sunflower), 661 nucleotides long. RefSeq lists it as uncharacterized. The transcript has 2 exons. The record is from RefSeq and is a predicted model, not a curated record. Lineage: Eukaryota; Viridiplantae; Streptophyta; Magnoliopsida; Asterales; Asteraceae.